AAAAACAUAACCUUUAGCCAAACAAGUAUUAAAGGCAACGCCUGCCCAGUGAAUAAUUAAACGGCCGCGGUAUCCUAACCGUGCAAAGGUAGCAUAAUCAUUUGUCUAUUAAUUGUAGACCUGUAUGAAAGGCAAAAUGAGAGCCCAACUGUCUCUUAUAACAAAUCAAUUAAACUGAUCUUCUAGUCCAAAAGCUAGAAUAUUAACAUAAGACCAGAAGACCCUGUGAAGCUUUAACUAACCUAUUAAACCCAAUAAUAGCUACUUUCGGUUGGGGCGACCUUGGAAUAAAAAGAAACUUCCAAUAUAUGACUUCUCAUAAAACAAGGCAAACAAGCCACACUAGACCCAGUAUCACUGAUAAUUGAAAUAAGUUACUCCAGGGAUAACAGCGCUAUCUUCUUUUAGAGCCCAUAUCAAAAAGAAGGUUUACGACCUCGAUGUUGGAUCAGGACAUCCUAGUAAUGCAACC
RNAcentral lists this ribosomal RNA (472 nucleotides) under Gloydius strauchi (Strauch's pitviper). RNAcentral's name for it is "partial 16S ribosomal RNA". It matches the Rfam family "Bacterial large subunit ribosomal RNA", at positions 1809 to 2560 of the family's 2925-position model. Lineage: Eukaryota; Metazoa; Chordata; Lepidosauria; Squamata; Viperidae. The record is from RNAcentral.